AGAGUUUGAUCCUGGCUCAGGAUGAACGCUGGCGGCGUGCUUAACACAUGCAAGUCGAACGAAGCGCUUAUUCACGAUCCCUUCGGGGUGACGAAUUUGUGACUGAGUGGCGGACGGGUGAGUAACGCGUGGGUAACCUGCCUCAUACAGGGGGAUAACAGUUGGAAACGACUGCUAAUACCGCAUAAGCGCACAGUACCGCAUGGUACAGUGUGAAAAACUCCGGUGGUAUGAGAUGGACCCGCGUUGGAUUAGCUAGUUGGUGAGGUAACGGCUCACCAAGGCGACGAUCCAUAGCCGACCUGAGAGGGUGACCGGCCACAUUGGGACUGAGACACGGCCCAAACUCCUACGGGAGGCAGCAGUGGGGAAUAUUGCACAAUGGGCGAAAGCCUGAUGCAGCGACGCCGCGUGAGUGAUGAAGUAUUUCGGUAUGUAAAGCUCUAUCAGCAGGGAAGAAAAAUGACGGUACCUGACUAAGAAGCACCGGCUAAAUACGUGCCAGCAGCCGCGGUAAUACGUAUGGUGCAAGCGUUAUCCGGAUUUACUGGGUGUAAAGGGAGCGCAGGCGGUACGGCAAGUCUGAUGUGAAAGCCCGGGGCUCAACCUCGGUACUGCAUUGGAAACUGUCGAACUAGAGUGUCGGAGGGGUAAGUGGAAUUCCUAGUGUAGCGGUGAAAUGCGUAGAUAUUAGGAGGAACACCAGUGGCGAAGGCGGCUUACUGGACGAUAACUGACGCUGAGGCUCGAAAGCGUGGGGAGCAAACAGGAUUAGAUACCCUGGUAGUCCACGCCGUAAACGAUGAAUAUCUAGGUGUCGGGAGGCAUUGCCUUUCGGUGCCGUCGCAAACGCAGUAAGUAUUCCACCUGGGGAGUAC
Molecule: ribosomal RNA, 878 nt
Filed under: uncultured bacterium
Lineage: Bacteria
Description: bacterial SSU rRNA
Rfam family: Bacterial small subunit ribosomal RNA
Source: RNAcentral